UCCUACGGGAGGCAGCAGUGGGGAAUAUUGCACAAUGGGCGCAAGCCUGAUGCAGCCAUGCCGCGUGUAUGAAGAAGGCCUUCGGGUUGUAAAGUACUUUCAGCGAGGAGGAAGGCGUUGUGGUUAAUAACCGCAGCGAUUGACGUUACUCGCAGAAGAAGCACCGGCUAACUACGUGCCAGCAGCCGCGGUAAU
Molecule: ribosomal RNA, 195 nt
Filed under: uncultured organism
Description: partial 16S ribosomal RNA
Rfam family: Bacterial small subunit ribosomal RNA
Source: RNAcentral